CAGUCGCCACGGGAAUACGUAGGUGGCAAGCGUUGUCCGGAAUUAUUGGGCGUAAAGGGCUCGCAGGCGGUUUCUUAAGUCUGAUGUGAAAGCCCCCGGCUCAACCGGGGAGGGUCAUUGGAAACUGGGAAACUUGAGUGCAGAAGAGGAGAGUGGAAUUCCACGUGUAGCGGUGAAAUGCGUUGAGAUCGGAAGGAACACCAACGGCGAAAGCACUCUGCUGGGCCGACACUGACACUGAGAGACGAAAGCUAGGGGAGCAAAUGGGAUUAGAGACCCCCGUAGUCCCUGUCUCUUAUAA
RNAcentral lists this ribosomal RNA (301 nucleotides) under uncultured bacterium. RNAcentral's name for it is "partial 16S ribosomal RNA". It matches the Rfam family "Bacterial small subunit ribosomal RNA", at positions 509 to 809 of the family's 1533-position model. The record is from RNAcentral.